AGCGAACGCUAGCGGCGGGCCUAACACAUGCAAGUCGAGCGCAUGCCUUCGGGUAUGAGCGGCGGACGGGUGAGUAACACGUAGGUAAUCUGCCCUGUGGUGGGGGAUAACCCGGGGAAACCCGGGCUAAUACCGCAUAUGGUCUACGGAUCAAAGCCUUCGGGCGCCAGAGGAUGAGCCUGCGUCGCAUUACCUAGUUGGCGGGGUAAAAGCCCACCAAGGGGACGAUGCGUAGCUGGUCUGAGAGGAUGAUCAGCCACACUGGGACUGAGACACGGCCCAGACUCCUACGGGAGGCAG
Molecule: ribosomal RNA, 300 nt
Filed under: uncultured Pseudomonadota bacterium
Lineage: Bacteria; Pseudomonadati; Pseudomonadota
Description: bacterial SSU rRNA
Rfam family: Bacterial small subunit ribosomal RNA
Source: RNAcentral